RNAcentral lists this ribosomal RNA (496 nucleotides) under uncultured bacterium. Its description in RNAcentral is "partial 16S ribosomal RNA". It matches the Rfam family "Bacterial small subunit ribosomal RNA", at positions 28 to 507 of the family's 1533-position model. The record is from RNAcentral.
GAUGAACGCUGCGGCGUGCCUAAUACAUGCAAGUCGAGCGAACGGACGAGAAGCUUGCUUCUCUGAUGUUAGCGGCGGACGGGUGAGUAACACGUGGAUAACCUACCUAUAAGACUGGGAUAACUUCGGGAAACCGGAGCUAAUACCGGAUAAUAUUUUGAACCGCAUGGUUCAAAAGUGAAAGACGGUCUUGCUGUCACUUAUAGAUGGAUCCGCGCUGCAUUAGCUAGUUGGUAAGGUAACGGCUUACCGAGGCAACGAUGCAUAGCCGACCUGAGAGGGUGAUCGGCCACACUGGAACUGAGACACGGUCCAGACUCCUACGGGAGGCAGCAGUAGGGAAUCUUCCGCAAUGGGCGAAAGCCUGACGGAGCAACGCCGCGUGAGUGAUGAAGGUCUUCGGAUCGUAAAACUCUGUUAUUAGGGAAGAACAUAUGUGUAAGUAACUGUGCACAUCUUGACGGUACCUAAUCAGAAAGCCACGGCUAACUACGUG